This 122-nucleotide ribosomal RNA is filed under the name Bison bison bison. The record is from RNAcentral. Lineage: Eukaryota; Metazoa; Chordata; Mammalia; Artiodactyla; Bovidae.
GUCUCAGGCCGUAUCAGCCUGAAAGGCGCCGGAUCUCGUCUGAUCUCGGAAAGCUAAGCAGGGUGGGGCCUGGUUAGGAUCUUGGAUGGGAGACCACCUGGGAAUCCCGGGUGCUCGAGGCU